RNAcentral lists this ribosomal RNA (498 nucleotides) under uncultured bacterium. Its description in RNAcentral is "partial 16S ribosomal RNA". It matches the Rfam family "Bacterial small subunit ribosomal RNA", at positions 30 to 523 of the family's 1533-position model. The record is from RNAcentral.
AUUGAACGCUGGCGGCAUGCCUUACACAUGCAAGUCGAACGGUAACGCGGGGCAACCUGGCGACGAGUGGCGAACGGGUGAGUAAUGUAUCGGAACGUGCCCAGUUGUGGGGGAUAACUGCUCGAAAGAGCAGCUAAUACCGCAUACGACCUGAGGGUGAAAGCGGGGGAUCGCAAGACCUCGCGCAAUUGGAGCGGCCGAUAUCAGAUUAGGUAGUUGGGGGGGUAAAGGCUCACCAAGCCGACGAUCUGUAGCUGGUCUGAGAGGACGACCAGCCACACUGGGACUGAGACACGGCCCAGACUCCUACGGGAGGCAGCAGUGGGGAAUUUUGGACAAUGGACGCAAGUCUGAUCCAGCCAUGCCGCGUGCGGGAAGAAGGCCUUCGGGUUGUAAACCGCUUUUGUCAGGGAAGAAAAGGCUCCUUCUAAUAUAGGGGGCUCAUGACGGUACCUGAAGAAUAAGCACCGGCUAACUUCGUGCCAGCCGCCGCCGUAA